GCAAUGGACGAAAGUCUGACGGAGCAACGCCGCGUGAACGAUGAAGGCCUUCGGGUCGUAAAGUUCUGUUGUUAGGGAAGAACAAGUACCAGAGUAACUGCUGGUACCUUGACGGUACCUAACCAGAAAGCCACGGCUAACUACGUGCCAGCAGCCGCGGUAAUACGUAGGUGGCAAGCGUUGUCCGGAAUUAUUGGGCGUAAAGCGCGCGCAGGUGGUUUCUUAAGUCUGAUGUGAAAGCCCACGGCUCAACCGUGGAGGGUCAUUGGAAACUGGGGAACUUGAGUGCAGAAGAGGAAAGUGGAAUUCCAAGUGUAGCGGUGAAAUGCGUAGAGAUUUGGAGGAACACCAGUGGCGAAGGCGACUUUCUGGUCUGUAACUGACACUGAGGCGCGAAAGCGUGGGGAGCGAACAGGAUUAGAUACCCUGGUAGUCCACGCCGUAAACGAUGAGUGCUAAGUGUUAGAGGGUUUCCGCCCUUUAGUGCUGC
RNAcentral lists this ribosomal RNA (490 nucleotides) under Metabacillus crassostreae. RNAcentral describes it as "bacterial SSU rRNA". It matches the Rfam family "Bacterial small subunit ribosomal RNA", at positions 368 to 849 of the family's 1533-position model. Lineage: Bacteria; Bacillati; Bacillota; Bacilli; Caryophanales; Bacillaceae. The record is from RNAcentral.